Molecule: ribosomal RNA, 44 nt
Filed under: Phytophthora palmivora
Lineage: Eukaryota; Oomycota; Peronosporomycetes; Peronosporales; Peronosporaceae
Description: partial 28S ribosomal RNA
Source: RNAcentral
UUGGACCUGAUAUCAGGCAAGAUUACCCGCUGAACUUAACUAAG